AGCAGCCGCGGUAAUUCCAGCUCCAAUAGCGUAUAUUAAAGUUGUUGCAGUUAAAAAGCUCGUAGUUGAAUUUCGGAAUCAAUAUGUUGGUCGUGCCUUGGUACGUACUAGCAUUAUUGGUUUCUACCUUCUGAAGAACCUCGAUGUCAUUAAUUUGGUGUCUUGGGGAAUCAGGACUGUUACUUUGAAAAAAUUAGAGUGUUUAAAGCAGGCUCACGCUUGAAUACAUUAGCAUGGAAUAAUGAAAUAGGACGUUUGAUUCUAUUUUGUUGGUUUCUAGGAUCGACGUAAUGAUUAAUAGGGAUAGUUGGGGGCAUUAGUAUUCAAUUGUCAGAGGUGAAAUUCUUGGAUUUAUUGAAGACUAACUACUGCGAAAGCAUUUGCCAAGGAUGUUUUCAUUAAUCAAGAACGAAAGUUAGGGGAUCGAAGACGAUCAGAUACCGUCGUAGUCUUAACCAUAAACUAUGCCGACUAGGGAUCGGAUGAUGUUAAUUUUUUAAUGACUCAUUCGGCGCCUUACG
RNAcentral lists this ribosomal RNA (521 nucleotides) under uncultured Glomeraceae. RNAcentral describes it as "SSU rRNA". It matches the Rfam family "Eukaryotic small subunit ribosomal RNA", at positions 569 to 1092 of the family's 1831-position model. The record is from RNAcentral. Lineage: Eukaryota; Fungi; Glomeromycota; Glomeromycetes; Glomerales; Glomeraceae.